UACGGAGGGUGCAAGCGUUAUCCGGAUUCACUGGGUUUAAAGGGUGCGUAGGCGGGCAGGUAAGUCCGUGGUGAAAUCUCUGAGCUUAACUCAGAAACUGCCAUGGAUACUAUUUGUCUUGAAUAUUGUGGAGGUAAGCGGAAUAUGUCAUGUAGCGGUGAAAUGCUUAGAUAUGACAUAGAACACCGAUUGCGAAGGCAGCUUGCUACACGAUCAUUGACACUGAGGCACGAAAGCGUGGGGAUCAAACAGG
This 253-nucleotide ribosomal RNA is filed under the name uncultured bacterium. Its description in RNAcentral is "partial 16S ribosomal RNA". It matches the Rfam family "Bacterial small subunit ribosomal RNA", at positions 524 to 776 of the family's 1533-position model. The record is from RNAcentral.